UACAGAGGUCCCAAGCGUUGUUCGGAUUCAUUGGGCGUAAAGGGUGCGUAGGCGGCGCGGUAAGUCGGGUGUGAAAUCUCGGGGCUUAACUCCGAAACUGCAUUCGAUACUGCCGUGCUUGAGGACUGGAGAGGAGACUGGAAUUUACGGUGUAGCGGUGAAAUGCGUAGAUAUCGUAAGGAAGACCAGUGGCGAAGGCGGGUCUCUGGACCACUACUGACGCUGAGGCGCGAAAGCUAGGGGAGCAAACAGG
RNAcentral lists this ribosomal RNA (253 nucleotides) under uncultured bacterium. Its description in RNAcentral is "partial 16S ribosomal RNA". It matches the Rfam family "Bacterial small subunit ribosomal RNA", at positions 524 to 776 of the family's 1533-position model. The record is from RNAcentral.